Molecule: ribosomal RNA, 607 nt
Filed under: uncultured Methanosarcinales archaeon
Lineage: Archaea; Methanobacteriati; Methanobacteriota; Methanomicrobia; Methanosarcinales
Description: bacterial SSU rRNA
Rfam family: Archaeal small subunit ribosomal RNA
Source: RNAcentral
GCCAGGCCCUACGGGGCGCAGCAGGCGCGAANACUUUACAAUGCGGGAAACCGUGAUAAGGGGACACCGAGUGCCAGCAUCAUAUGCUGGCUGUCCAGGUGUGUAAAAUACACCUGUUAGCAAGGGCCGGGCAAGACCGGUGCCAGCCGCCGCGGUAACACCGGCGGCCCGAGUGGUGAUCGUGAUUAUUGGGUCUAAAGGGUCCGUAGCCGGUUUGGUCAGUCCUCCGGGAAAUCUGAUAGCUCAACUAUUAGGCUUUCGGGGGAUACUGCCAGACUUGGAACCGGGAGAGGUAAGGGGUACUACAGGGGUAGGAGUGAAAUCUUGUAAUCCCUGUGGGACCACCUGUGGCGAAGGCGUCUUACCAGAACGGGUUCGACGGUGAGGGACGAAAGCUGGGGGCACGAACCGGAUUAGAUACCCGGGUAGUCCCAGCCGUAAACGAUGCUCGCUAGGUGUCAGGCAUGGCGCGACCGUGUCUGGUGCCGCAGGGAAGCCGUGAAGCGAGCCACCUGGGAAGUACGGCCGCAAGGCUGAAACUUAAAGGAAUUGGCGGGGGAGCACAACAACGGGUGGAGCCUGCGGUUUAAUUGGAUUCAACGCCGGG